Molecule: ribosomal RNA, 604 nt
Filed under: Streptococcus sobrinus
Lineage: Bacteria; Bacillati; Bacillota; Bacilli; Lactobacillales; Streptococcaceae
Description: bacterial SSU rRNA
Rfam family: Bacterial small subunit ribosomal RNA
Source: RNAcentral
UCUGACCGAGCAACGCCGCGUGAGUGAAGACGGUUUUCGGAUCGUAAAGCUCUGUUGUAGGGGAAGAACGUGUGUAAGAGUGGAAAGCUUACACAGUGACGGUACCCUACCAGAAAGGGACGGCUAACUACGUGCCAGCAGCCGCGGUAAUACGUAGGUCCCGAGCGUUGUCCGGAUUUAUUGGGCGUAAAGGGAGCGCAGGCGGUUUAGUAAGUCUGAAGUUAAAGGCAUUGGCUCAACCAAUGUAUGCUUUGGAAACUGUUAGACUUGAGUGCAGAAGGGGAGAGUGGAAUUCCAUGUGUAGCGGUGAAAUGCGUAGAUAUAUGGAGGAACACCGGUGGCGAAAGCGGCUCUCUGGUCUGUCACUGACGCUGAGGCUCGAAAGCGUGGGUAGCGAACAGGAUUAGAUACCCUGGUAGUCCACGCCGUAAACGCUGAGUGCUAGGUGUUAGGUCCUUUCCGGGACUUAGUGCCGACGCUAACGCAUUAAGCACUCCGCCUGGGGAGUACGACCGCAAGGUUGAAACUCAAAGGAAUUGACGGGGGCCCGCACAAGCGGUGGAGCAUGUGGUUUAAUUCGAAGCAACGCGAAGAACCUUACCAG